This 439-nucleotide ribosomal RNA is filed under the name uncultured bacterium. RNAcentral describes it as "partial 16S ribosomal RNA". It matches the Rfam family "Bacterial small subunit ribosomal RNA", at positions 338 to 795 of the family's 1533-position model. The record is from RNAcentral.
CCUACGGGGGCAGCAGUGGGGAAUAUUGCACAAUGGGGGGAACCCUGAUGCAGCGACGCCGCGUGAGUGAAGAAGUAUUUCGGUAUGUAAAGCUCUAUCAGCAGGGAAGAAAAUGACGGUACCUGACUAAGAAGCCCCGGCUAACUACGUGCCAGCAGCCGCGGUAAUCCGUAGGGGGCAAGCGUUAUCCGGAUUUACUGGGUGUAAAGGGAGCGCAGACGGCUGUGCAAGUCUGGAGUGAAAGGCGGGGGCCCAACCCCCGGACUGCUCUGGAAACUGUAAAGCUGGAGUGCAGGAGAGGUAAGCGGAAUUCCUAGUGGAGCGGUGAAAUGCGUAGAUAUUAGGAGGAACACCAGUGGCGAAGGCGGCUUACUGGACUGCAACUGACGUUGAGGCUCGAAAGCGUGGGGAGCAAACAGGAUUAGAUACCCUUGUAGUC